Molecule: ribosomal RNA, 1500 nt
Filed under: metagenome
Description: bacterial SSU rRNA
Rfam family: Bacterial small subunit ribosomal RNA
Source: RNAcentral
AGAGUUUGAUCAUGGCUCAGAUUGAACGCUGGCGGCAGGCCUAACACAUGCAAGUCGAACGGUAACAGGAAGCAGCUUGCUGCUUCGCUGACGAGUGGCGGAAGGGUGAGUAAUGUCUGGGAAGCUGCCUGAUGGAGGGGGAUAACUACUGGAAACGGUAGCUAAUACCGCAUAAUGUCGCAAGACCAAAGAGGGGGACCUUCGGGCCUCUUGCCAUCGGAUGUGCCCAGAUGGGAUUAGCUUGUUGGUGGGGUAACGGCUCACCAAGGCGACGAUCCCUAGCUGGUCUGAGAGGAUGACCAGCCACACUGGAACUGAGACACGGUCCAGACUCCUACGGGAGGCAGCAGUGGGGAAUAUUGCACAAUGGGCGCAAGCCUGAUGCAGCCAUGCCGCGUGUAUGAAGAAGGCCUUCGGGUUGUAAAGUACUUUCAGCGGGGAGGAAGGGAGUAAAGUUAAUACCUUUGCUCAUUGACGUUACCCGCAGAAGAAGCACCGGCUAACUCCGUGCCAGCAGCCGCGGUAAUACGGAGGGUGCAAGCGUUAAUCGGAAUUACUUGGCGUAAAGCGCACGCAGGCGGUUUGUUAAGUCAGAUGUGAAAUCCCCGGGCUCAACCUGGGAACUGCAUCUGAUACUGGCAAGCUUGAGUCUCGUAGAGGGGGGUAGAAUUCCAGGUGUAGCGGUGAAAUGCGUAGAGAUCUGGAGGAAUACCGGUGGCGAAGGCGGCCCCCUGGACGAAGACUGACGCUCAGGUGCGAAAGCGUGGGGAGCAAACAGGAUUAGAUACCCUGGUAGUCCACGCCGUAAACGAUGUCGACUUGGAGGUUGUGCCCUUGAGGCGUGGCUUCCGGAGCUAACGCGUUAAGUCGACCGCCUGGGGAGUACGGCCGCAAGGUUAAAACUCAAAUGAAUUGACGGGGGCCCGCACAAGCGGUGGAGCAUGUGGUUUAAUUCGAUGCAACGCGAAGAACCUUACCUGGUCUUGACAUCCACGGAAGUUUUCAGAGAUGAGAAUGUGCCUUCGGGAACCGUGAGACAGGUGCUGCAUGGCUGUCGUCAGCUCGUGUUGUGAAAUGUUGGGUUAAGUCCCGCAACGAGCGCAACCCUUAUCCUUUGUUGCCAGCGGUCCGGCCGGGAACUCAAAGGAGACUGCCAGUGAUAAACUGGAGGAAGGUGGGGAUGACGUCAAGUCAUCAUGGCCCUUACGACCAGGGCUACACACGUGCUACAAUGGCGCAUACAAAGAGAAGCGACCUCGCGAGAGCAAGCGGACCUCAUAAAGUGCGUCGUAGUCCGGAUUGGAGUCUGCAACUCGACUCCAUGAAGUCGGAAUCGCUAGUAAUCGUGGAUCAGAAUGCCACGGUGAAUACGUUCCCGGGCCUUGUACACACCGCCCGUCACACCAUGGGAGUGGGUUGCAAAAGAAGUAGGUAGCUUAACCUUCGGGAGGGCGCUUACCACUUUGUGAUUCAUGACUGGGGUGAAGUCGUAACAAGGUA